RNAcentral lists this ribosomal RNA (443 nucleotides) under uncultured Leptotrichia sp. Its description in RNAcentral is "bacterial SSU rRNA". It matches the Rfam family "Bacterial small subunit ribosomal RNA", at positions 338 to 795 of the family's 1533-position model. The record is from RNAcentral. Lineage: Bacteria; Fusobacteriati; Fusobacteriota; Fusobacteriia; Fusobacteriales; Leptotrichiaceae.
CCUACGGGAGGCUGCAGUGGGGAAUAUUGGACAAUGGGGGCAACCCUGAUCCAGCAAUUCUGUGUGCACGAAGAAGGUUUUCGGAUUGUAAAGUGCUUUCAGCAGGGAAGAAGAAAGUGACGGUACCUGCAGAAGAAGCGACGGCUAAAUACGUGCCAGCAGCCGCGGUAAUACGUAUGUCGCAAGCGUUAUCCGGAAUUAUUGGGCAUAAAGGGCAUCUAGGCGGCCAGACAAGUCUGGGGUGAAAACUUGCGGCUCAACCGCAAGCCUGCCCUGGAAACUGUCUGGCUAGAGUGCUGGAGAGGUGGACGGAACUGCACGAGUAGAGGUGAAAUUCGUAGAUAUGUGCAGGAAUGCCGAUGAUGAAGAUAGUUCACUGGACGGCAACUGACGCUGAAGUGCGAAAGCUAGGGGAGCGAACAGGAUUAGAUACCCCGGUAGUC